UUAAGCGACUAAGCGUACACGGUGGAUGCCCUGGCAGUCAGAGGCGAUGAAGGACGUGCUAAUCUGCGAUAAGCGUCGGUAAGGUGAUAUGAACCGUUAUAACCGGCGAUUUCCGAAUGGGGAAACCCAGUGUGAUUCGUCACACUAUCAUUAACUGAAUCCAUAGGUUAAUGAGGCGAACCGGGGGAACUGAAACAUCUAAGUACCCCGAGGAAAAGAAAUCAACCGAGAUUCCCCCAGUAGCGGCGAGCGAACGGGGAGCAGCCCAGAGCCUGAAUCAGUGUGUGUGUUAGUGGAAGCGUCUGGAAAGGCGCGCGAUACAGGGUGACAGCCCCGUACACAAAAAUGCACAUACUGUGAGCUCGAUGAGUAGGGCGGGACACGUGGUAUCCUGUCUGAAUAUGGGGGGACCAUCCUCCAAGGCUAAAUACUCCUGACUGACCGAUAGUGAACCAGUACCGUGAGGGAAAGGCGAAAAGAACCCCGGCGAGGGGAGUGAAAAAGAACCUGAAACCGUGUACGUACAAGCAGUGGGAGCCUCUUUUAUGGGGUGACUGCGUACCUUUUGUAUAAUGGGUCAGCGACUUAUAUUCUGUAGCAAGGUUAACCGAAUAGGGGAGCCGAAGGGAAACCGAGUCUUAACCGGGCGUUAAGUUGCAGGGUAUAGACCCGAAACCCGGUGAUCUAGCCAUGGGCAGGUUGAAGGUUGGGUAACACUAACUGGAGGACCGAACCGACUAAUGUUGAAAAAUUAGCGGAUGACUUGUGGCUGGGGGUGAAAGGCCAAUCAAACCGGGAGAUAGCUGGUUCUCCCCGAAAGCUAUUUAGGUAGCGCCUCGUGAAUUCAUCUCCGGGGGUAGAGCACUGUUUCGGCAAGGGGGUCAUCCCGACUUACCAACCCGAUGCAAACUGCGAAUACCGGAGAAUGUUAUCACGGGAGACACACGGCGGGUGCUAACGUCCGUCGUGAAGAGGGAAACAACCCAGACCGCCAGCUAAGGUCCCAAAGUCAUGGUUAAGUGGGAAACGAUGUGGGAAGGCCCAGACAGCCAGGAUGUUGGCUUAGAAGCAGCCAUCAUUUAAAGAAAGCGUAAUAGCUCACUGGUCGAGUCGGCCUGCGCGGAAGAUGUAACGGGGCUAAACCAUGCACCGAAGCUGCGGCAGCGACACUGUGUGUUGUUGGGUAGGGGAGCGUUCUGUAAGCCUGUGAAGGUGUACUGUGAGGUAUGCUGGAGGUAUCAGAAGUGCGAAUGCUGACAUAAGUAACGAUAAAGCGGGUGAAAAGCCCGCUCGCCGGAAGACCAAGGGUUCCUGUCCAACGUUAAUCGGGGCAGGGUGAGUCGACCCCUAAGGCGAGGCCGAAAGGCGUAGUCGAUGGGAAACAGGUUAAUAUUCCUGUACUUGGUGUUACUGCGAAGGGGGGACGGAGAAGGCUAUGUUGGCCGGGCGACGGUUGUCCCGGUUUAAGCGUGUAGGCUGGUUUUCCAGGCAAAUCCGGAAAAUCAAGGCUGAGGCGUGAUGACGAGGCACUACGGUGCUGAAGCAACAAAUGCCCUGCUUCCAGGAAAAGCCUCUAAGCAUCAGGUAACAUCAAAUCGUACCCCAAACCGACACAGGUGGUCAGGUAGAGAAUACCAAGGCGCUUGAGAGAACUCGGGUGAAGGAACUAGGCAAAAUGGUGCCGUAACUUCGGGAGAAGGCACGCUGAUAUGUAGGUGAAGUCCCUCGCGGAUGGAGCUGAAAUCAGUCGAAGAUACCAGCUGGCUGCAACUGUUUAUUAAAAACACAGCACUGUGCAAACACGAAAGUGGACGUAUACGGUGUGACGCCUGCCCGGUGCCGGAAGGUUAAUUGAUGGGGUCAGCGCAAGCGAAGCUCUUGAUCGAAGCCCCGGUAAACGGCGGCCGUAACUAUAACGGUCCUAAGGUAGCGAAAUUCCUUGUCGGGUAAGUUCCGACCUGCACGAAUGGCGUAAUGAUGGCCAGGCUGUCUCCACCCGAGACUCAGUGAAAUUGAACUCGCUGUGAAGAUGCAGUGUACCCGCGGCAAGACGGAAAGACCCCGUGAACCUUUACUAUAGCUUGACACUGAACAUUGAGCCUUGAUGUGUAGGAUAGGUGGGAGGCUUUGAAGUGUGGACGCCAGUCUGCAUGGAGCCGACCUUGAAAUACCACCCUUUAAUGUUUGAUGUUCUAACGUGGACCCGUGAUCCGGGUUGCGGACAGUGUCUGGUGGGUAGUUUGACUGGGGCGGUCUCCUCCUAAAGAGUAACGGAGGAGCACGAAGGUUGGCUAAUCCUGGUCGGACAUCAGGAGGUUAGUGCAAUGGCAUAAGCCAGCUUGACUGCGAGCGUGACGGCGCGAGCAGGUGCGAAAGCAGGUCAUAGUGAUCCGGUGGUUCUGAAUGGAAGGGCCAUCGCUCAACGGAUAAAAGGUACUCCGGGGAUAACAGGCUGAUACCGCCCAAGAGUUCAUAUCGACGGCGGUGUUUGGCACCUCGAUGUCGGCUCAUCACAUCCUGGGGCUGAAGUAGGUCCCAAGGGUAUGGCUGUUCGCCAUUUAAAGUGGUACGCGAGCUGGGUUUAGAACGUCGUGAGACAGUUCGGUCCCUAUCUGCCGUGGGCGCUGGAGAACUGAGGGGGGCUGCUCCUAGUACGAGAGGACCGGAGUGGACGCAUCACUGGUGUUCGGGUUGUCAUGCCAAUGGCACUGCCCGGUAGCUAAAUGCGGAAGAGAUAAGUGCUGAAAGCAUCUAAGCACGAAACUUGCCCCGAGAUGAGUUCUCCCUGACCCUUUAAGGGUCCUGAAGGAACGUUGAAGACGACGACGUUGAUAGGCCGGGUGUGUAAGCGCAGCGAUGCGUUGAGCUAACCGGUACUAAUGAACCGUGAGGCUUAACCU
RNAcentral lists this ribosomal RNA (2900 nucleotides) under Escherichia coli. RNAcentral describes it as "23S ribosomal RNA". It matches the Rfam family "Bacterial large subunit ribosomal RNA". Lineage: Bacteria; Pseudomonadati; Pseudomonadota; Gammaproteobacteria; Enterobacterales; Enterobacteriaceae. RNAcentral also lists the same sequence under 1 other name. The record is from RNAcentral.